GCCAGGCAUGGUGGCAUGCACCUGUAGUCCCAGCUACUUGAGAGGCUGAAGUAGGAGGAUGGCUUGAGCCCAGGAAUUCUGGGCCAUAGUGUGCUAUUAUGAUCAAGUGUCUGCACUAACCUUGGAUUCAAUAUGGUGACCUCCCUGGAGUGAGGGACCACCAAGUUAGCUGGAUAGAGCAGCUGAGGUAGGAAAUGGAGCAGGUUAAAACUCCCAUGCUGAUCAGUAGUGGGAUUGCACCUGUGUAUAGCCACUCCACUUCAACCUAGACAACAUAGAAAGAUACUGCCUCUUU
This is an unclassified non-coding RNA of Otolemur garnettii (small-eared galago), 295 nucleotides long. It matches the Rfam family "Metazoan signal recognition particle RNA". Rfam says of the family: The signal recognition particle (SRP) is a universally conserved ribonucleoprotein. It is involved in the co-translational targeting of proteins to membranes. Lineage: Eukaryota; Metazoa; Chordata; Mammalia; Primates; Galagidae. The record is from Ensembl.